This is a long non-coding RNA of Triplophysa rosa, 8478 nucleotides long. RefSeq lists it as uncharacterized. The record is from RefSeq and is a predicted model, not a curated record. NCBI's taxonomy places the organism in Eukaryota, Metazoa, Chordata, Actinopteri, Cypriniformes, Nemacheilidae. The transcript has 3 exons.
UUCACACAUUUCUUAGGCAAAGUUACACUUUUAUCCAAAGUGAUUUUUAAUGGAUUUAUUCGAUCAGUGCACGAAUACGAAAGUGAAUUUCAAGUUUAGAUUUAGAGACAGAAGAAGCACUUUUAUUUGACAAUUGCAUUAAAAUGGUUCGUAAUGAGUGUAAUAAUAAUUCCUGUGACAUGACGAAUGUUUUCAUCUGUCAGGUCAUCAUUCAGCAGCUCUCUGGCUCUUAGCUCAGAGUCAAGAAACCCGGCAGCAGUCGGAUUCAUUCUCUCGCGAGGAGAACAGAGGGCGUUAGGACCGAGAGACCCGUGCAUGCGUGUGUUUGAGGAGAGAACAAAGGCUGACAUGUGUAAGAUGAAAGCUGAGUGAAAUCUAAACUAAUCAAACCCAACGAGACAGCUGGAGCCGGUUCAACACACAGACAUUUAAACGCUCACAUUCGCUCCGGGCUGAAAGAAAACAGUUCGGGUGGAGAGACGGCGAAGAAAAAACCCAAUGCGCUGGCCGAGAGUCAAACAGGUGUAUGAAAGAAACCCUCCUCGUGUCGAGGCUACAGUAUGUGUUGUUUGUUUGCAAAGCAACACUAAAGGACGGGCGGACAUGAAUAAACACACGGCCACGGCACUUGUGACUCACAAACGUCUCUCUCUUUUCUUCUCUCUAUUCAACAGCGUUCAAAAGAGACUCCAGUUCAAAGCACCAGGUUUUCUUUCAAACGCUCUAGUUUUAAAGGAGCUCUCGCUUAGAAAGACUUUCGCCCGCGGCGGGCCACAGGACGAAUGCUUACAAAGCAGAACGUUAACAGUGGAGAAAUGCUUUGAUUUGACUUCAGGAGAGAGACACCAAACCCAAGUCAACACAUUUACACACCUUCAAACUCUCACCGUCCCAUCAUGAGACACUUCAUUGAGUUCACUUCAAUUAAAACAGACAUAUCGGGUUUUUGAAUAUUCAGCGACAGAUCGAACGCUCGGAGGACGAGGAACUGAGGUGUUUGCGUGAUUACCCGAGAGACGUCGUGGCACGUCGCUGAUGCUGGGCAAACCGGUGGCACGGGCGGAUGACAGCGGGGUGGUGGAGUGGAUGGAUGGUGAUGUCAUCUGGCUCAGGUGACAUGAAACAGAAGCUCACACCAGUUUGAUGGCAAUGCAAACUGAGUUUAAAGUGAGAUCUCUGACGUGCGAUUGACAUCUUCAGAGGAGACGGAGAGAUUCCUGCCGUCAGAUUUCUGAUGCUUCUGAUUUAUCUUCAUUUAACCUCACAGUUGUCCAGGAGAUAUUAAUGAGAUCUGUGUGAUUGUGAUGUGUGUUGUGUUGUGUUGUGUUGUGUUGAGAGAAGAGAUGAAGCAGAUGACGUUCACCACUUCACUUCCAGAAAGAAGAAAGAAUGUGAAAUGAUUCAGCCGGAACAAAGGAAAAUCCCUAACGCUCAUACCCUGAGACAUCUGUCAACAAUACACAUCAAGAGUACUCGCAUUUAUCUCCAAUAAACACUAACACAGCACACAAUGACGAAAACAUCCGAAUAUUGAGAGACUAGGACAUAAAAAACUUCACGCAUGCUGUCAGAAUGUUAGUAUGUUGUUUGUUUGUUUGUGCUGUGAUCAUGUGAAGAUGAACAGCACACGUGUCCUGAAUGAUCUGGGAGCGAUUUGACAUCAUUUCAGUCACAGGCCUCCACAUGAGAAAUACGUAAGUGUAUAGUGAACAGAUAAACAGAGUAUACGGUAGUGCUUACUAAGAUAAAAAAAACACGGUAGUAUCUUGGAAUUUUACAACAGUUUACUAUAUGUAGGGACAUUUAGAGCCUCUAAAGAAUUCCAUUUAAGGUUUAACGUUUGUAUAUAAACAUGGGCAUCGAGUGAAUAAUACUGCUGUAUUUACAUUUACAUUUAGUCAUUUAGCAGACGCUUUCAUCCAAACGAGGGAAACGAUGGAAGCAGUUGGAACAACAUGAGGACAACAAAAAGCACAAGUGCAGUAAACCUGGUCUCAUAUAGCCCAUAACAGUAUACAGAGCGAAGGGGUUUUAUGGAUGAAAGAGCAGAAAAGAGAUGAAGUCAGAACUGAUGGGUCAGGUGCUGACGGAAGAGAUGUGUUUUCAGACGAAUCUUAAAGAUGGCCACAGAACCUGCUGAUCUUGUAGCAGCGGGCAGAUCAUUACACAGAUGUGGAACCCAUCCAGAGAAGGUACGUCAGAGACAUUUUUUACCUUUUCGGGAUGGCACCUCAAGACGACGUUCGUUUGCAUACAUCGUUGUUCGGGUACAUAAGUCUGCAUUAGCGACUGAUGAUGGGAGUGCCAAUCCAGUGGUGGUCUUGUAGGUCAGGAGCAGAGUCUUGAUUUUGAUGAGAGCGACUAUAGGGAGCCAAUGUACCUUAAUGAAGAGAGGAGUGAUGUGCGCUCUCUUCGGUUCAUUGAACACCACAGUUCUCGCCCCCCAUUGACUCCCAUAGUAGGAAAAAUGACAAUGGUGGUCAAAAGUGCCCCACAACUGUUUGCUGUCCUACAUUCUUCAAAAUAUCAUCUUUUGUGUUCAACAGAACAAAAAAUGAUAUACAAAAAGUAUUUUUCCUACUGUGGGAGUCAAUGGGGUCCAAGAUCAAAGACAUUUAUACAGAUUUGGAACAACUUGAGAGUAAAAGAAGGCAGAAUUCUCCUUUUUGGGUGAAGUGUCCCUUUAAAAGAGCAGAAACACACAGAGAGAGAGAGAGAGAGAGAGAGAGAGAGAAAUGUGACGGCAGCCAAGUACUUCUGGAGUUGUGCCAGUCUCUCAUGUGUGGUCUGAGUUUAUGUUUCUGACUUCAGGAAAUCAGCCACGCCAACACAGGGCACACGCACACGCAACUACAGCUUCAUAAAACCAUGAAAUCAGCAUGUGAUUGACACUAUUACACACCAUUUCAUCACUAGAACAUACAGACUGAAUGAGUUAAUGAAUCUAGUAACAGAAACUUCUGUCUGUUCCUCACGCUUUCAUUUAAGAAUCUGUGAAUCAGCGUCUGUGAGUUCAGCACAUGUGUUUAAAUCAGACAGAUUUCCGCCAGCGUUUCUAUCCCGAGAGUGUCUUCAUUUUCACCGAUUUACUACAGUGAGUAUUGACUUGUGUAUCAUAUAUGCAUCGCAGACAGUGUGUGUGUGCGCGUGUGCGUGUGUGUGUGUGCGUCCAUAUACAGUAUGUGUGUGUGUGCGCGUGUGUGUGUGUGAAGGGUAAACCCUACGGUAUGGGGACAAAAUGUCCCCACAAAGAUGGCAAUAUGCAAAACCCUUGUCCUUGUGGGGACAUUUUGUUGUCCCCAUGAGGAAACAAGCUUAUAAAUCAUACAGAAUGAACUUUUGUGAAAAUGUAAAAGAGCAGACAGUUGUGUGUGAUUGUUAGGGGUAGGGGGUAGGGAAUAUGAUAUACAGUUUGUACAGUAUAAAAACCAUUGCAUCUAUGGAAUGUCCCCAUAAAACAUGAAAACCCAACAUGCGUGUGUGUGUGCGCGCGUGUGCGCGUGCCUCCUCUAUAAAGUAUUGCUGUUGAUCUGUGUGUCUGUCAUCAUGAUUCCUAAAAACACUCCAAACAUAUCUGAGAUGCUGUGAUUUUGGGAUAAUAACACAACAAAUCAUUUGUUUGUCAAUGAUGAUGCUGAUGCUGUAUAUACCGUCUAUCAUAAAACCACUAUUUGUAAGCAGAAUAUGUGUGUUAUUGCAAAACUGUAAGUGACCAUCUGAAAGUUAAUAAAUCUAUUGGAUGAUGUAAUAAACGCUGGCUUAUCACUGGUUCAGAAGAACUUCCUGUUUCACUACACAAACAUUUGAGCAAAAUACAACCUACAGAAUAUGGAUAACUAAUUUAAAAUGUUAAACAAAUAGAUUAAAUGAUACAUGUUCGAUUGAAAAAAUACUAAUAAAUAAAUAACUGAAACCGGAAGGAAGUCUGGAGCAGUGUUUACGGCUUGCAAAGUGGUCGAACGGAAAACUUGAAGUGGAAACUCUCAUCCGCUGUCAUGAAUGUCCGUUUCAGACAGUUUUCAGAUGUCGUUUGGACGUGUGUUUGUGGAGAACACAGGCAGAUAUAUUCAGCUGUCUUCAGUUAGUUUUGUGUUUUGAAUGGAGUGUUUUGUCUGAGGGCUUUUCUGUGUGUUUGUACGUGUCUGCACACGCAGAACUGAGUUCAAAGGACAUCACAGGUUCACCUCUGACAAACCACAACCAAAAACAACCCGACAUCAGCCACAUGUUUAUCUGCAACAGAUUCAUUCAAAUCAUAUGAUUUCAACAUCAAAAUCCUAGAUUUACAGGUGUUUAUAAUACAUUUGUAUAUUUUCUAUUGCUUUAUCAAAAUUAACAAAAGAACGAGAGAGAGAGAGAGAGAGAGAGAGAGAGAGAGAGAGAGAGAGAGAGAGAGAGAGAGAGAGAGAAAACUAAACAGUAGUGUGUGUGUUGGUGUAAAAUAUAAAAACCGCGCGUGGCGUGUCAAGCUGAAGGUACACACACAUGUUGGCAUCCGAGUUUUAUUCAUGGUUGUCUAAUACUGUAGAAAAUUACUAACGUUAUAUGACUGAUCUCAGAUCUUACAUACAAAGUCAAUGCAAAGAAGCGUAGAAACGCGAAUCAGGUGGCACGAUUGCCGCGAACGCGCAUCAAUCUCGUCUUCCGCGAAGGUUGAAAAUAUUUGUCAGAUCGCGCUAAAAUAACAAACUUUUCCCGCGAGUAAUAAAGAGCGUGGAACGCGAUUGUUCGUGUUUGGUGUAAACCCGGCAAAAGACGCGUGAUAAGUAGUUCUGACACUACUGCCCGGUUUUGCAGACAAGGCUUAAGACUAGUCCCAGACUAAAAUGAAAGUUUGAGCGGUCUCUACUAAAAAAAAUUGCCCUGAAAUAUUUUUAAAUAUGUCAGUGUCAUUGUUUUGUCUCAAGAUGCACACCAGUCAGUCAUAUUUUUAUCUCAGGCAUUUUAUUAAAAGCCACUUAAAUAUCCUAAUUUAACUAAAGCAUAGUCCUGGCUUAAGCUAAGCAUUGUCUGUGAAACCGGGCCUAUAUGUGAAUGCAAGAUCGAAUCCGCCUUUUUCGAAUCCACCCUAACCCGAACUACAUUUUCACAUCACAAAUCGCGACAUACAGGCAAUUAUUUUCAAAAAAAUGAAGAAAAUAUCAGAAAAUGGCUAACAGGUGAUCAAUAAUAAAGUGCGUGGUAAGGUUAGGGGUAGAGAGGUCUUUAUUGUCUCAAUUAGUUGGCAUCCAUUUAAUACAUGGAUAAUCCAUUUAAUCAUUUACACAGCUAUUAUUAUUGUAUAAUGUAUAAUGUACAACAUUACUUUGUUUACCUUGCUGUGUCGAAACGGAAUGAAGUUUAAUUUAUAUCUCUGAAUGAGCUCGUCAGUGUCAAUGUGAUUGAGGUGGCCAAACAUAUGAAGGAAUUUGUCCGAUCAAAUGAAAGAAGGCGGGAUUUGCUGUAUUGACAGAAGCCGAGGUUGGAAUGAUGUAAGUAGCUAAAUGUUUAAUGUUUGACAACUGUAUUAAUGUUAGGGCCGUUCACAUGUCGUGUGUAAAAACACGUGCAAAACGCAGGCUGCGUCAUUUUUUCCCUCUUUGUGCCGCUUGGGAGUUUGCGCUCCCUCAGGGUCUGCCGUUACAUUACAUUUACAUCUACGCAUUUGGCAGAAGCUUUUAUCCAAAGCAACUUACAUUGCACUGUACUAUACAUUUGUCUCUGUCUGACUAUGUGCAAUCGCCUGGAUCGAACCCAUGACUUUAGGGUUGCUAGCGCCAUGCUCUAACCACAGAGCGUUACUAUUUGAGCGUUACUAUUUGAGCGUUACUAUUUGAGCGGUACUAUUUGAGCGUUACUAUUUGAGCGUUACUAUUUGAGCGUUACUAUUUGAGCGUUACUAUUUGAGCAGGAUUUACGCGCAUCAACAUUCAAGUAAAAACCCAGAGUAAACAGCCGACCUCCAGUAAUGCGCAACGUAGUCGCGAACAGACGGAGGGGCCCGUUAAAAGUUUUUGCGUAUGAGCCCGGACCUGACAUGUUGGUUUUUCUGUGAAUGUUUUUCAGCACGACGGCACGGAUCAUCUCUGAUAAUAACUGUGUGUGUUCUUCAUCUCUCCAAUGUAAAGUGGCGUCAGUCAGAGAGAACAAACUCAUUUCACAUGUAUUCAAAGUCAGAAAUACACCACAAAUUGAGCUUAAAAUACUUUCCAGUAAUAGAUUCCUCAGAGACGUUUCACUCACAAAAACCCUUGAACCACAGCACUACAUAUUCAAUAUUCCCUUAAAGAAAUGGUACAUUUUAUAUUGCUGUUUGUUGUCUUUUCACAUUUAACACAGCAAGAAAUAAUGACUCCGUAUCUCUCGCUUUAAACCCUCCGACAUGAACUCCAACCUUCACCCUCACCAAACUCAAAGUGGAAAUCUGGAUAAGAAAAUGAUUCCUUCUUUUAAAUGCUGAAGUUUUCGAGCUCUCCUGUGAGUUGUGUAUUGAUUUGAAAGUGUCGGCGUUGUGAGAGGGUCUUUCAGCAGCAGAUCCGUACGAGAGAGGAUCAGGUAUCCUCAUUAUGAGGCUGCUGCUGGAAACACAAGGCCCUCUCUCUAAAGGUCUUAGACGCCCUUCCCCGUCUAUUAGUUCAAAUUACCUUUAAUAACCAGAGUUACACCAGACCACCACAUGAUUCCACACGCGUGCCAUGAGACCUAACAACACACGCUCCAGUUAUACAACAUCAUCAUGACGUCAUGAACAUGCGCAGGGAUGAGACUUUAAUGUCGUGGUCAUGUUCGUCUGAGCACUCUGAUCUGAAUCUGAUGUACGUAUACCAGUAACACCAGUAGAUUUUGACCUUGUGGGGACAUUUUGUAGGUGCGCAUGAGGGAAAACAGCUUAUAAAUCAUACAGAAUGAUAUUUAUUGAAAAUGUAAGAAUGCAGAAGGGUUAGGGAAUAGAAUAGAUCAUAAGCCUCAUAUAAAAUCAAUGGAAGUCUAUGGAAUGUCCCCAUAAAACAUGGAAACCACUGUGUGUGUUUGUGCGUGCAUGUGUGUGUGUGUGUGUGUGUGUGUGUGUGUGUGUGUGUGUGCGCGUGUGUGUGUUGGCUCUCUUUGGUUGAUGUAAGUGAUGUUUUCUUUAGGAAUGAGCAGACGCUGCUGGAGAGUUUCACAGUAGUCGAGUCAUCUCUGCUCUUUCUCAAUAAUUCACACCGUUAAAGCAAAGUGUCGAGCACCUUAGCAACAACACAAACACAAUGUACAGAACCUUCAUUAACACGCCUGACAUCACAUCCCUACAAGACCACAACAACAUCUUCAAGACACGUCUCUCUCUCUCUCUCUCUCUGUGUGUGCGUGUGUGUGCGUGUGUGUGUGUGUGUGUGUGAGUGCGUGUGUGUGCGUGAGUGUGUGUGCAUGUGUGUGUGUGAGUGCGUGUGUGUGCGUGUGUGGGUGUGUGUCUGCGUGUGUGUGCGUGAGUGUGUGAGGAAUGUGUGCAGUGUGUGUGUGUGUGUGUGUGUUUGUGUGUGUGUGUGUGUGCAUGUGGGUGUGUGACUGUGUGUGUGUGCGUGAGUGUGUGGGUGUGAGGAAUGUGAGCAGUGUGUGCGCAGUUACAGGCAGCGUCAGCUACACAACACACACACACACACUCACAGGAUGUUGCACAACUCAGAUGUCUGUGCAUGUGUCAUCAUUUCCUGUCUUACCACCUGCCAUGUGCUUACAAACAUCAACACAACCAUGACAAAUACACACUUACAGAUAAACACUGAGAGAGAGAGAGAGAGAGAGAGAGAGAGAGAGAGACUUCUACAGAAAAAGAACUGAUUCUGAUCACCUACAUUCAAUCUAACAUCCUGACAAACUGCUCUCAUCAUUUUACUUUGACCUCACAAUCUGUGAGGGUUUUAAACUGUGUUUGUGUUUCAGGUGACGAUGUUUCAUUCAGGUACAGGAACAGUUUUUCACCAUCAAAAUGAAUCAAAUCUGGUCUCAUCUUGUAUUUUUUCAUGUUUAAUAUUCGGUUCUGAUCAGAAAUAACGUCUGAUUACAAAAGUUAAACUGCGGCCUCAAUGUUUUUGACAUCUCUGCUCUUAAGAUGUUAGUCAUUCUAUAAGUCUGCAACCUCAGAAAGAGAAAAUAAACAGAAAAAUGAUUGUGUUUACAGCAACAGAAGCUGUGUUUGGCGUGUGAGAUGAAAGAGUCGCUCAGCUCCUCUGCCACAUGAUGUGAUCAUUACCAGAAGAAGAAAAGAAACAAACGAACACAAGUUCUUUCUGUGUUUGUGAUGAUUCAUUGUGAUGAAACAAUAACUUAAAUACAUGAAACAACAUCUGUUUUAAUGUCAUUACUUUGACACAACCAGUUGUCUAUUUUCAGACCUUUGACCGUCAUGUCAGACUGUAAUAGAAACCCAGAAUAGAGAAAGUCAAACCCUGUGUAUGAUCUUUCUUCCACAUGAAAGUCGUUACGCAGCGCAGCUUCUUCUAACAGUUUUUUUAUUUCAGG